This 293-nucleotide long non-coding RNA is filed under the name Eucalyptus grandis. RNAcentral describes it as "long non-coding RNA (EGRA_LNC007957)". Lineage: Eukaryota; Viridiplantae; Streptophyta; Magnoliopsida; Myrtales; Myrtaceae. The record is from RNAcentral.
AUCCUCCAUCCAUCAGUAGCGGCUACUCCCAAAAAGAAACGUCAGCUCUCUACCCCUUACGCGACCAUCACACCCAUCUUGGUGCGUCGGGCGGUGAUGGCGACAACAUCCCCUUAAACACUCCAUCUCGGCGAACAUGAACUAACAGAAACUCCUGAAUGAUAGGGCCCUUAGCUAGGCCCACAUUGUACAUGUCUAGCACUCGCACUCGCACAAAUGUCAGUCUAGGGAGGGUGACGCAGUCAAUCUCCGUACACUCUACCUCUACAUUCGAUGGGAGGCCAUAGAAGGUG